This 424-nucleotide ribosomal RNA is filed under the name uncultured bacterium. RNAcentral's name for it is "bacterial SSU rRNA". It matches the Rfam family "Bacterial small subunit ribosomal RNA", at positions 355 to 796 of the family's 1533-position model. The record is from RNAcentral.
UGGGGAAUAUUGGACAAUGGGGGAAACCCUGAUCCAGCCAUGCCGCGUGAGUGAUGAAGGCCUUAGGGUUGUAAAGCUCUUUUACCAGGGAAGAUGAUGACGGUACCUGGAGAAUAAGCACCGGCUAACUUCGUGCCAGCAGCCGCGGUAAUACGAAGGGUGCUAGCGUUGUUCGGAAUCACUGGGCGUAAAGCGCGCGUAGGCGGCUCGUCAAGUCAGAGGUGAAAGCCCUGGGCUCAACCCAGGAAUUGCCUUUGAAACUAGCGGGCUGGAGUGUCGGAGGGGAUAGCGGAAUUCCUAAUGUAGCGGUGAAAUGCGUAGAUAUUAGGAGGAACACCGGUGGCGAAGGCGGCUAUCUGGACGACAACUGACGCUGAGGCGCGAAAGCGUGGGGAUCAAACAGGAUUAGAUACCCCGGUAGUCC